UAAGAACUUGGGCUACUCUGCAACUUUCC
RNAcentral lists this non-coding RNA (29 nucleotides) under Mus musculus (house mouse). Lineage: Eukaryota; Metazoa; Chordata; Mammalia; Rodentia; Muridae. The record is from RNAcentral.